AUAACGAUUCUGCAACCUGGAGGACCAGUCCAUCCUAAGGGAAGUCAGUGUCCUGUCCUUCCACACCUCGCAGUGUUUGCUGACCAAGCAGUGAUCCUACUCAAGGUUCCAGGCUGAAGAUAGACAUGGGGAACAAGUAAAAGAAACAAGUACAAUGUGCGAUUCAUAUACUUUUGGCUUCAGAAAAGCAGCAGUUUGCCCAAAGGAAGCAGGGUCUUCAGCUCCACAAUCCUCUCAACUAGUGCAGUGCUGUUAGUGUCAAGCCAAAUUUACAAGCCAGGAGAGUUUGACAUCAGCGGGAGUUGUCUCACAAAGAAGCGUACAACGUGACUCCAGAAGAGGUACAUGAACAAUUUGAGCUCUUUGCUAAAUAAACAAAAUGUUGGUGUUUGUGGUGAGUUAAACAUCUGCAUUUCACUUCAAGUAUUAAACAACCUUUGAAAACACAA
This is a long non-coding RNA of Strigops habroptila (Kakapo), 449 nucleotides long. RefSeq lists it as uncharacterized. The transcript has 3 exons. The record is from RefSeq and is a predicted model, not a curated record. Lineage: Eukaryota; Metazoa; Chordata; Aves; Psittaciformes; Psittacidae.